Molecule: ribosomal RNA, 1372 nt
Filed under: uncultured bacterium
Lineage: Bacteria
Description: bacterial SSU rRNA
Rfam family: Bacterial small subunit ribosomal RNA
Source: RNAcentral
GAUGAACGCUGGCGGCGUGCCUAAUACAUGCAAGUCGAGCGAACGGACGAGAAGCUUGCUUCUCUGAUGUUAGCGGCGGACGGGUGAGUAACACGUGGAUAACCUACCUAUAAGACUGGGAUAACUUCGGGAAACCGGAGCUAAUACCGGAUAAUAUUUUGAACCGCGUGGUUCAUAAGUGAAAGACGGUCUUGCUGUCACUUAUAGAUGGAUCCGCGCUGCAUUAGCUAGUUGGUAAGGUAACGGCUUACCAAGGCAACGAUGCAUAGCCGACCUGAGAGGGUGAUCGGCCACACUGGAACUGAGACACGGUCCAGACUCCUACGGGAGGCAGCAGUAGGGAAUCUUCCGCAAUGGGCGAAAGCCUGACGGAGCAACGCCGCGUGAGUGAUGAAGGUCUUCGGAUCGUAAAACUCUGUUAUUAGGGAAGAACAUAUGUGUAAGUAACUGUGCACAUCUUGACGGUACCUAAUCAGAAAGCCACGGCUAACUACGUGCCAGCAGCCGCGGUAAUACGUAGGUGGCAAGCGUUAUCCGGAAUUAUUGGGCGUAAAGCGCGCGUAGGCGGUUUUUUAAGUCUGAUGUGAAAGCCCACGGCUCAACCGUGGAGGGUCAUUGGAAACUGGAAAACUUGAGUGCAGAAGAGGAAAGUGGAAUUCCAUGUGUAGCGGUGAAAUGCGCAGAGAUAUGGAGGAACACCAGUGGCGAAGGCGACUUUCUGGUCUGUAACUGACGCUGAUGUGCGAAAGCGUGGGGAUCAAACAGGAUUAGAUACCCUGGUAGUCCACGCCGUAAACGAUGAGUGCUAAGUGUUAGGGGGUUUCCGCCCCUUAGUGCUGCAGCUAACGCAUUAAGCACUCCGCCUGGGGAGUACGACCGCAAGGUUGAAACUCAAAGGAAUUGACGGGGACCCGCACAAGCGGUGGAGCAUGUGGUUUAAUUCGAAGCAACGCGAAGAACCUUACCAAAUCUUGACAUCCCUUGACAACUCUAGAGAUAGAGCCUUCCCCUUCGGGGGACAAAGUGACAGGUGGUGCAUGGUUGUCGUCAGCUCGUGUCGUGAGAUGUUGGGUUAAGUCCCGCAACGAGCGCAACCCUUAAGCUUAGUUGCCAUCAUUAAGUUGGGCACUCUAAGUUGACUGCCGGUGACAAACCGGAGGAAGGUGGGGAUGACGUCAAAUCAUCAUGCCCCUUAUGAUUUGGGCUACACACGUGCUACAAUGGACAAUACAAAGGGCAGCGAAACCGCGAGGUCAAGCAAAUCCCAUAAAGUUGUUCUCAGUUCGGAUUGUAGUCUGCAACUCGACUACAUGAAGCUGGAAUCGCUAGUAAUCGUAGAUCAGCAUGCUACGGUGAAUACGUUCCCGGGUCU